RNAcentral lists this ribosomal RNA (366 nucleotides) under uncultured organism. RNAcentral describes it as "partial 16S ribosomal RNA". It matches the Rfam family "Bacterial small subunit ribosomal RNA", at positions 527 to 896 of the family's 1533-position model. The record is from RNAcentral.
GGAAGGUCCAGGCGUUAUCCGGAUUUAUUGGGUUUAAAGGGAGCGUAGGCGGAUUGUUAAGUCAGCGGUUAAAGGGUGUGGCUCAACCAUGCAUUGCCGUUGAAACUGGCGAUCUUGAGUGCAGACAGGGAUGCCGGAAUUCGUGGUGUAGCGGUGAAAUGCUUAGAUAUCACGAAGAACUCCGAUCGCGAAGGCAGGUGUCCGGGCUGCAACUGACGCUGAGGCUCGAAAGUGUGGGGUAUCAAACAGGAUUAGAUACCCUGGUAGUCCACACAGUAAACGAUGUAUACUCGCGGUUUGCGAUAGAUUGUAAGCCGCCAAGCGAAAGCAUUAAGUAUACCACCUGGGAGUACGCCGGCAACGGUG